GGGCUGCAGUGAGGAAUAUUCCACAAUGGGCGAAAGCCUGAUGGAGCGACGCCGUGUGUGUGAUGAAGUCUUUCGGGAUGUAAAGCACUGUCAGAGGGGAAGAUAUUGACGGUACCCUCAGAGGAAGCCCCGGCUAACUACGUGCCAGCAGCCGCGGUAAUACGUAGGGGGCGAGCGUUGUCCGGAAUUACUGGGCAUAAAGGGCGCGUAGGUGGCCUGAUAAGUGAGAUGUAAAAGGUAUGAGCUCAACUCAUAUAUGCAUCUCAAACUGUCUCGCUAGAGAGAGUCAGAGGAAAGCGGAACUUCCGGUGUAGCGGUGAAAUGCGUAGAUAUCGGAAGGAACACCAGUGGCGAAGGCGGCUUUCUGGGACUCUUCUGACACUGAGGCGCGAAAGCUAGGGGAGCAAACAGGAUUAGAUACCCCUGUAGUC
RNAcentral lists this ribosomal RNA (431 nucleotides) under uncultured microorganism. Its description in RNAcentral is "bacterial SSU rRNA". It matches the Rfam family "Bacterial small subunit ribosomal RNA", at positions 346 to 795 of the family's 1533-position model. The record is from RNAcentral.